GAGCCCCCGUCAAUUCCUUUGAGUUUCAGCCUUGCGACCAUACUCCCCAGGCGCUGUACUUAACACUUUCGCUACGUCCGAGAAGAUGUGGGGGUCCCCACGGACUAGUACAGAUCGUUUACAGCUAGGACUACCGGGGUAUCUAAUCCCGUUCGCUCCCCUAGCUUUCGUGCCUCAGCGUCAGAAGGAUCCCAGAGAGCCGCUUUCGCCACCGGUGUUCCUGAUAAUAUCAACGCAUUUCACCGCUCCACCAUCAGUUCCGCUCUCCUCUGAUCCCCUCAAGACUAGUGGUUUCAAACGCAAUUCCACGGUUGAGCCGUGGGCUUUCACAUCUGACCUACCAACCCGCCUACGCACCCUUUAAGCCCAGUGAUUCCGAAUAACGUUUGCACAGUUCGUAUUACCGCGGCUGCUGGCACGGACUUAGCCUGUGCUUCCUCCUAGGAUCGGUCAAAAUUUCCUCCCCUACGACAGCUGUUUACAACCCGAGGGCCUUCAUCCAGCACGCGGCGUCGCUCCGUCAGACUUUCGUCCAUUGCGGA
Molecule: ribosomal RNA, 542 nt
Filed under: uncultured Planctomycetota bacterium
Lineage: Bacteria; Pseudomonadati; Planctomycetota
Description: uncultured planctomycete partial 16S ribosomal RNA
Source: RNAcentral